RNAcentral lists this non-coding RNA (21 nucleotides) under Caenorhabditis elegans. The record is from RNAcentral. Lineage: Eukaryota; Metazoa; Nematoda; Chromadorea; Rhabditida; Rhabditidae.
UGAGAAUUUUUAAUUUUUAAA